UUGAACAUUGGCUUUCAUAUCAAAGAGCAAAAGAAAAUAAAAUGUUUACAAGCCCAUCUGGCCUUAGUGUUUACAAUACCCAUUAGUAAGAAACUCAUAAUUUAGAAACUUCCAUAGUAAUGCCCAAAAUCCCUAAGCUCAUUCAGCUGAGUGAUUUGGCCGGGAUUUUGAUAAUUGAAGCGUCGGAGAAAACAGUGGUGGAGAGGGGGAUAGAGCGGAGAGAGCGAUCAUGCGUGAUGAAACCACAAUUGCAUCAUGGAGGAGGAAAGCUUUGGAUUUGAAGACCUGAAACUCUGGAUCCUAUUUCUUAUCUGGCGAUCAAUUAUGGUGAAGAGAGAGUCAAUAGACCUGAAGGAGUUUGUGUGCAGCCUUGAGUUUCGUUCAUUCCAUAUCCAAUAGAGGUUGGAUUGCCAAGCUAGAAGAGUGAGUAUGCGAUGAGGUCUCUGCGAUUUCUGAGUCGGAAGCGCUUGCAUCUGCUGUAAGGUUUGGCUCCAGCUCCUCAGCGGUUGGAUUGAGCAUCUUCUUGCUGUUAAUUCCCAUAGAUCGAAGCUGAAGGUGCAAUGGAAGAAGAUGUGGUCUCUAGAUUCAUGAUUGUUGUUGCAAAGGAGGCAGAGAGGAGAGACCUGGAUGCCCCAAGUUAGUAGCCUAUCUCUCGUCGGGCACCUAUCAAGAAUAACCAGCCAAGUGUGGAACUGCUGUCUAGGGAUUCCAUAGGAGAACCAGACCGUUGAAGCUCACGAGACUUCAUCAAUGUUUCCUCGUAGGUGGAAGCCGCCACGAUCCAUUUCUGAACAAAGACGCCACAGUUGCUUUGUUAGUUAAAAAUUAAAUUUAUACAAAA
Long non-coding RNA from Brassica napus (rape), 841 nucleotides. RefSeq lists it as uncharacterized. The transcript is spliced from 2 exons. Lineage: Eukaryota; Viridiplantae; Streptophyta; Magnoliopsida; Brassicales; Brassicaceae. The record is from RefSeq and is a predicted model, not a curated record.